AACGGGUGAGUAACGCGUGAGGAACCUGCCUCAAANAGGGGACAACAGUUGGAAACGACUGCUAAUACCGCAUAAGCCCACGGGUCGGCAUCGACCAGAGGGAAAAGGAGCAAUCCGCUUUGAGAUGGUCUCGCGUCCGAUUAGCUAGUUGGUGAGGUAAUGGCCCACCAAGGCGACGAUCGGUAGCCGGACUGAGAGGUUGAACGGCCACAUUGGGACUGAGACACGGCCCAGACUCCUACGGGAGGCAGCAUG
This 255-nucleotide ribosomal RNA is filed under the name uncultured bacterium. Its description in RNAcentral is "partial 16S ribosomal RNA". It matches the Rfam family "Bacterial small subunit ribosomal RNA", at positions 101 to 353 of the family's 1533-position model. The record is from RNAcentral.